RNAcentral lists this ribosomal RNA (387 nucleotides) under uncultured bacterium. RNAcentral describes it as "bacterial SSU rRNA". It matches the Rfam family "Bacterial small subunit ribosomal RNA", at positions 29 to 418 of the family's 1533-position model. The record is from RNAcentral.
AUUGAACGCUGGCGGCAUGCUUUACACAUGCAAGUCGAACGGUAACAGGCCGCAAGGUGCUGACGAGUGGCGAACGGGUGAGUAAUGCAUCGGAACGUGCCCAGUCGUGGGGGAUAACGCAGCGAAAGCUGCGCUAAUACCGCAUACGAUCUAUGGAUGAAAGCGGGGGGACCGUAAGGCCCUCGCGCGAUUGGAGCGGCCGAUGUCAGAUUAGGUAGUUGGUGGGGUAAAAGGCUCACCAAGCCAACGAUCUGUAGCUGGUCUGAGAGGACGACCAGCCACACUGGGACUGAGACACGGCCCAGACUCCUACGGGAGGCAGCAGUGGGAAUUUUGGACAAUGGCGCAAGCCUGAUCCAGCAAUGCCGCGUGCAGGAAGAAGGCCUU